GACGAACGCUGGCGGCGUGCUUAACACAUGCAAGUCGAACGGAAAGGCCCUGCUUUUGUUGGGUGCUCGAGUGGCGAACGGGUGAGUAACACGUGAGUAACCUGCCCUUGACUUUGGGAUAACUUCAGGAAACUGGGGCUAAUACCGGAUAGUAGCUCCUGCUGCAUGGUGGGUGUUGGAAAGUUUCGGCGGUUGGGGAUGGACUCGCGGCUUAUCAGCUUGUUGGUGGGGUAGUGGCUUACCAAGGCGUUGACGGGUAGCCGGCCUGAGAGGGUGACCGGCCACAUUGGGACUGAGAUACGACCCAGACUCAUACGGGAGGCAGCAGUGGGGAAUAUUGCACAAUGGGCGGAAGCCGGAUGCAGCAACGCCGCGUGCGGGAUGACGGCCUUCGGGUUGUAAACAGCGUGAGCCUGUGACGAAGCGUGAGUGACGGUAAUGUGUAAAGAAGCACCGGCUAACUACGUG
RNAcentral lists this ribosomal RNA (468 nucleotides) under uncultured bacterium. RNAcentral describes it as "partial 16S ribosomal RNA". It matches the Rfam family "Bacterial small subunit ribosomal RNA", at positions 28 to 507 of the family's 1533-position model. The record is from RNAcentral.